UGCUUAUAAUGAUUAUAAUUGUACGAUCCAUAUCGUACAUCAAGCAGUUUUAGGGUUUUUAAGGAGU
This is a long non-coding RNA of Aricia agestis (brown argus), 67 nucleotides long. RefSeq lists it as uncharacterized. The transcript is spliced from 3 exons. The record is from RefSeq and is a predicted model, not a curated record. NCBI's taxonomy places the organism in Eukaryota, Metazoa, Arthropoda, Insecta, Lepidoptera, Lycaenidae.